UUUAAUCAUUGCUAUUUCCUUUUCAACCAUGGACAUAGCAUUACCAGCACGAGCAAUUCGGCUACCUGGAUUAACUUUACCUGAAUUACCACCUCUACCUUCAGUCACAUUGCCAACUCUACCUCCAGUCUCAUUGCCACAUCUAAGAGUACCACCUCUACCUUCAGUCACAUUGCCAACUCUACCUCCAGUCUCAUUGCCACCUCUAAGAGUACCACCUCUACCUUCAGUCACAUUGCCAACUCUACCUCCAGUCUCAUUGCCACCUCUAAGAGUACCACCUCUACCUUCAGUCACAUUGCCAACUCUACCUCCAGUCUCAUUGCCACCUCUAAGAGUACCACCUCUACCUUCAGUCACAUUGCCAACUCUACCUCCAGUCUCAUUGCCACCUCUACCUCCAGUCACAUUGCCACCUCUUCCACCUGUUCCAGGUUUGCCAUCUCUACCACCGGUUUUGCCAUCUCUACCAC
This 473-nucleotide long non-coding RNA is filed under the name Phaseolus vulgaris (common bean). Its description in RNAcentral is "long non-coding RNA (PVUL_LNC004628)". Lineage: Eukaryota; Viridiplantae; Streptophyta; Magnoliopsida; Fabales; Fabaceae. The record is from RNAcentral.